Rhagoletis zephyria (snowberry fruit fly) is the source of this 295-nucleotide long non-coding RNA. RefSeq lists it as uncharacterized. NCBI's taxonomy places the organism in Eukaryota, Metazoa, Arthropoda, Insecta, Diptera, Tephritidae. The record is from RefSeq and is a predicted model, not a curated record.
GUAUUUUUUACCUUAUUCCUCAGAUGGAUUGUUGUGGCACUUUUGGUCCAAAAGAUUGGGAACCAAUAUUCCACAAUACCUCGUUGCCAUCUGCAUGCUGCGCUGUUAUCAAUCUAAACGAGGCUCAGGACUGUACUGUGGUUCAUGCUCACUCGGAAGGAUGUCUAAAUAAACUACUCAAACUUCUUGACUCCAAGACGUUGACCCUAGCUGGUGUGGUACUUGGAGUUGCGUGUAUUCAGCUUCUGACUAUUCUCUUCGCUUGCUGCCUGUUUCGUUCGUUCCGUCGUUAAUA